GCUAAAUUGCAUAAAAUUAGCAACAGCCGGCUCGCCAAGUCACCUGCUUUAAUCAUGCCAAGCAGUGUUGGCACAGCGCCCAGUUUCACCAGCUUGGCCCUAUUACUCUGGAUUAAACUCAAAUGAUACAAGGCCAAAGCUGAGUCGUGGCGAGUUCGCUCACUCUCACACCUCAGAGCGUGCAUCAAUGGGUGUAACGCUCCAAAAACCCCUAUUGUCAUCUUGUUCUCGUCUUCUAAAGCUAAACUGAAAAGCGCACCGGCGGCAUGCUCUUGCGGUUCACUGGAUCCGGCCGUUAAUAGAUCAAUCAAAAGAGGAACAAAUCCUGACCGUACGAUUUUAACUUUGUUCGCUUUCUCCAGCGAGAGAUUUACCAGUGCAGCGAUGGCGUUCGUUUGCACGACGCAGUAUCUCGACGCAAUCAAGGAACGGAGAGCUGUGAGUAAUCGGUGAGUACACAGAGGAAUUCUCAUUUCCUCUCGUGCUCUAGUAAGCUUCCUCAGCGAAAUCACCGCCUCUUCUUGUUCGUAUACUUCAGGGCUUCUAAGCUUAGCCACAAUCUCUUCCUCUUCAGGGAAUGAGGAAUUGGAGCUGGAGUCAGCGGAAUCAGGAUUUUGCGUUAGGGUUUCAGCUUCAGCAAUUUCGGAUGACGAGUUAGAAGAUGAAGUAUAACACGCUGGGCGAGUCGCGAAAGGCAGCAGAGUAAACGGACUCGCCGUCGCGUUGUUGACAAUCAUGGAUUCCUCGGAGGAGCUCGAGUAGAAAU
RNAcentral lists this unclassified non-coding RNA (766 nucleotides) under Hevea brasiliensis (rubber tree). Lineage: Eukaryota; Viridiplantae; Streptophyta; Magnoliopsida; Malpighiales; Euphorbiaceae. The record is from RNAcentral.